GACGUAGGAAGCGAGCGUUGUCCGGAAUUACUGGGUGUAAAGGGCGUGUAGGCGGGGCGGCGCAUCCGGGAGUAAAUCCCACGGCUUAACCGUGGAACCAUCUCGGAGAUGGCCGCUCUUGAGGACAGGAGAGGAAAGUGGAAUUUCCGGUGGAGCGGUGAAAUGCGUAGAGAUCGGAAAGAACACCAACGGCGAAAGCACUCUGCUGGGCCGACACUGACACUGAGAGACGAAAAGCUAGGGGGAGCGAAUGGG
RNAcentral lists this ribosomal RNA (255 nucleotides) under uncultured bacterium. RNAcentral describes it as "partial 16S ribosomal RNA". It matches the Rfam family "Bacterial small subunit ribosomal RNA", at positions 524 to 776 of the family's 1533-position model. The record is from RNAcentral.